Molecule: long non-coding RNA, 419 nt
Filed under: Brachypodium distachyon (stiff brome)
Lineage: Eukaryota; Viridiplantae; Streptophyta; Magnoliopsida; Poales; Poaceae
Description: long non-coding RNA (BDIS_LNC001417)
Source: RNAcentral
AGGCCCAAUAUGUGUGUCUAACAAACUGACCAAAAGUUCUCUACCGGCCCAGACAACUUUACAGCCCACAGCCCAUGAUAUGUCGGCCGCUUUUCUCACUUUGUUCGCCUUCAAGGCUUCAAAAGACAAUGUUCGACUCGAAAGAAAAAGAAAUAUCCUCACUCUGUUUUGAUGGAGAAUCGACACGUUCUCCCCCUUGGAAGUUGGGAAAGCUUAGUCUCUCGAAAAAAAAAAUCCAUUCGGGCUUUGUCACGCAUGCAUACGCCGAUUUACGUUGGAAGGAGAAUGUUGUGGUUACGGUACCUGUUCUUUCUUAUGUAUCCCGACGCUCGUCGUCAUGGCAAGCCGGCGACACCAAAAUCCGUCCACCCCCCAAGAUGCUACGCGGCAAAGUUAAAAAUAGUUGCAAAAUGUUGGGA